RNAcentral lists this small RNA (114 nucleotides) under Serratia marcescens. RNAcentral describes it as "RtT sRNA". It matches the Rfam family "RtT RNA". From Rfam's summary of the family: This family represents a bacterial cis-regulatory element known as RtT RNA. The exact function of RtT is unknown although it is thought that it may be involved in changing the cellular response in relation to amino acid starvation. The record is from RNAcentral. Lineage: Bacteria; Pseudomonadati; Pseudomonadota; Gammaproteobacteria; Enterobacterales; Yersiniaceae.
UAGCCCACCGAGUCGUGCGGGUGAGAUCCUGCGCUCAGGUUCAGAGAUACGACAACGCGCAGCGUUGCCCGCAGGGUGAGGCCACAGGCCGAAUCAAUCCUGCACGACCCACCC